GGGGAUCUUGUUUGCCAAGUAUGUUUGAUCACAUCAUACUGGCCUGCAAAAUCCCAAA
Molecule: microRNA precursor, 58 nt
Filed under: Nautilus pompilius
Lineage: Eukaryota; Metazoa; Mollusca; Cephalopoda; Nautilida; Nautilidae
Description: Npo-Mir-193-P1_pre stem-loop
Source: RNAcentral